This 30-nucleotide non-coding RNA is filed under the name Mus musculus (house mouse). Lineage: Eukaryota; Metazoa; Chordata; Mammalia; Rodentia; Muridae. The record is from RNAcentral.
UCCCAAAGUAAGCUGCUCACAACGGUGGAC